RNAcentral lists this unclassified non-coding RNA (316 nucleotides) under Hevea brasiliensis (rubber tree). Lineage: Eukaryota; Viridiplantae; Streptophyta; Magnoliopsida; Malpighiales; Euphorbiaceae. The record is from RNAcentral.
CUUUGCCAGUUGCAAUUUGAUAAUUUAGCAUAGAGAAGCUAUAGCAAACAUGCGAGCAAUUUUGGAACUUUGGACACCCAGAAAUUGUAACAUGUCAAUAACCAUUUCGAUUAAGUCGUUCUUUCACCGUUCAGGGGAAAAAAAAAAUCCUGUGCUUCUGUAAAUGAUGGCUAAUGAUAAUCCUUUCUAUUUAUCUCCUUGUAUAAAAAAGGGGGAAAUUGGUAAAGUGAACAUCAAACGAUUCCUCCUAACUUCAAACUGUGUUUUACAUUGAAGUCAAUUACUACUCUUCCCAAGUUGCACCCAACACCUUUGC